This 247-nucleotide ribosomal RNA is filed under the name uncultured bacterium. RNAcentral describes it as "partial 16S ribosomal RNA". It matches the Rfam family "Bacterial small subunit ribosomal RNA", at positions 86 to 334 of the family's 1533-position model. The record is from RNAcentral.
AGAUGGCGACCGGCGCACGGGUGAGUAACACGUAUCCAACCUGCCGAUAACUCGGGGAUAGCCUUUCGAAAGAAAGAUUAAUACCCGAUGGUAUAAUCAGACCGCAUGGUCUUGUUAUUAAAGAAUUUCGGUUAUCGAUGGGGAUGCGUUCCAUUAGAUAGUAGGCGGGGUAACGGCCCACCUAGUCAACGAUGGAUAGGGGUUCUGAGAGGAAGGUCCCCCACAUUGGAACUGAGACACGGUCCAA